ACUAUGCUUAGCCCUAAACAUCGAUUGCAUCAUACACUCCAUAUCCGCCCGGGAAUUAUGAACGUCAGUUUAAAACCCAAAGGACUUGGCGGUGCUUAACAUCCA
RNAcentral lists this ribosomal RNA (105 nucleotides) under Limanda limanda (common dab). Its description in RNAcentral is "partial 12S ribosomal RNA". The record is from RNAcentral. Lineage: Eukaryota; Metazoa; Chordata; Actinopteri; Pleuronectiformes; Pleuronectidae.